AGAGUUUGAUCAUGGCUCAGAACGAACGCUGGCGGCGUGCCUAACACAUGCAAGUCGAACGGAAUUGGAGAGCUUGCUUUUCAAUUUAGUGGCGCACGGGUGAGUAACGCGUAGAUAAUCUGCCUGAUGAUCUGGGAUAACACUUCGAAAGGGGUGCUAAUACCGGAUAAGCCCACGGGAACUUUGGUUCUUGCGGGAAAAGGUGGCCUCUAUUUAUAAGCUACUGUAUCAGGAUGGGUCCGCGUACCAUUAGCUAGUUGGUAGUGUAAUGGACUACCAAGGCUACGAUGGUUAGCUGGUCUGAGAGGAUGAUCAGCCACACUGGAACUGAGACACGGUCCAGACUCCUACGGGAGGCAGCAGUGGGGAAUUUUGCGCAAUGGGGGAAACCCUGACGCAGCAACGCCGCGUGAGUGAUGAAGGCUUUCGGGUCGUAAAGCUCUGUCAGAGGGGAAGAAGUGUAUGGGUGCUAAUACCAUCUAUACUUGACGGCACCCUCAAAGGAAGCACCGGCUAACUCCGUGCCARCAGCCGCGGUAAUAC
This 543-nucleotide ribosomal RNA is filed under the name uncultured Geobacter sp. Its description in RNAcentral is "bacterial SSU rRNA". It matches the Rfam family "Bacterial small subunit ribosomal RNA", at positions 8 to 526 of the family's 1533-position model. The record is from RNAcentral. Lineage: Bacteria; Pseudomonadati; Thermodesulfobacteriota; Desulfuromonadia; Geobacterales; Geobacteraceae.